Heterocephalus glaber (naked mole-rat) is the source of this 143-nucleotide small nucleolar RNA. NCBI's taxonomy places the organism in Eukaryota, Metazoa, Chordata, Mammalia, Rodentia, Bathyergidae. The record is from Ensembl.
AAGCAACUGAUAAAUGAAGAUGAAUUUGGGACAGAGAAGCAGGAGUAGCAAUAAAUGACUUCAAGUGGCUAAAAUUGAGACACAGGUCAUGCUUCCAUCACAGUAAACAUAUUACAGUGGUGACAAUGAGACCUGUAACAUUU